This 191-nucleotide ribosomal RNA is filed under the name Piscibacillus halophilus. RNAcentral's name for it is "16S rRNA. Bacterial SSU". It matches the Rfam family "Bacterial small subunit ribosomal RNA", at positions 1 to 172 of the family's 1533-position model. Lineage: Bacteria; Bacillati; Bacillota; Bacilli; Caryophanales; Bacillaceae. The record is from RNAcentral.
CUUUUAUGGAGAGUUUGAUCCUGGCUCAGGACGAACGCUGGCGGCGUGCCUAAUACAUGCAAGUCGAGCGCGGGAAGCAAACUGAAUCCUUCGGGAGGACGUUUGUGGAACGAGCGGCGGACGGGUGAGUAACACGUGGGCAACCUGCCUGUAAGACUGGGAUAACUCCGGGAAACCGGGGCUAAUACCGG